UACGAGGGAUCCUAGCGUUGUUCGGAAUCAUUGGGCGUAAAGGGUGUGUAGGCGGUCAUGUAAGUCAGUUGUGAAAGCCCCGGGCUCAACCCGGGAAGUGCUUCUGAUACUGCGUGACUUGAGUAUUGGAGAGGUGAGUGGAAUUCCAGGUGUAGUGGUGAAAUACGUAGAUAUCUGGAGGAACACCGGCGGCGAAGGCGGCUCACUGGCCAUAUACUGACGCUGAAACACGAAAGCGUGGGUAGCAAACAGG
Molecule: ribosomal RNA, 253 nt
Filed under: uncultured bacterium
Lineage: Bacteria
Description: partial 16S ribosomal RNA
Rfam family: Bacterial small subunit ribosomal RNA
Source: RNAcentral